This 478-nucleotide ribosomal RNA is filed under the name uncultured bacterium. Its description in RNAcentral is "partial 16S ribosomal RNA". It matches the Rfam family "Bacterial small subunit ribosomal RNA", at positions 28 to 523 of the family's 1533-position model. The record is from RNAcentral.
GACGAACGCUGGCGGCGUGCUUAACACAUGCAAGUCGAACGGUAAGGCCCUUCGGGGUACACGAGUGGCGAACGGGUGAGUAACACGUGGGUGAUCUGCCCUGCACUUCGGGAUAAGCCUGGGAAACUGGGUCUAAUACCGGAUAGGACCACUGCCUGCAUGGGUGGUGGUGGAAAGCUUUUGCGGUGUGGGAUGGGCCCGCGGCCUAUCAGCUUGUUGGUGGGGUGAUGGCCUACCAAGGCGACGACGGGUAACCGGCCUGAGAGGGUGACCGGCCAGACUGAGACUGAGAUACGGCCCAGACUCCGACGGGAGGCAGCAGUGGGGAAUAAUGCACAAGGGGCGCAAGCCUGAUGCAGCGACGCCGCGUGAGGGAUGACGGCCUGCGGGUUGUAAACCUCUUUCAGCACCGACGAAGCGCAAGUGACGGUAGGUGCAGAAGAAGGACCGGCAAACUACGUGCCAGCAGCCGCCGUAA